This 85-nucleotide transfer RNA is filed under the name Felis catus (domestic cat). It matches the Rfam family "tRNA". Rfam says of the family: Transfer RNA (tRNA) molecules are approximately 80 nucleotides in length. Their secondary structure includes four short double-helical elements and three loops (D, anti-codon, and T loops). Lineage: Eukaryota; Metazoa; Chordata; Mammalia; Carnivora; Felidae. RNAcentral also lists the same sequence under 1 other name. The record is from Rfam by way of RNAcentral.
GCCUGAGUGGCUUAGUCAGUUGAGCGUCUGACUUCGGCUCAGGUCAUGAUCUCGUGGUUUGUGAGUUCAAGCCCCACAUGGGGCU